AGGAUGCAAAGAAUCUUUAGCCUGAACAAAGAAAUGAUGUGAACAAAUGAAUGUGGUUGAUGGAGUGAAGGAACACAGGGCCCCUGAAAAUGAAUAACCCUUACACUGGCACACCCAACACCUAGGCUAGCAAAUCAGUGCACACACGUAUUUAUUUUCUCUGUGGGUCUCUGUUCAGGUAAGUACUCUGAAUGAAGCUUUGGUCACAGGCUGUUUUGUGCAGUUACUGGUGCUUCCUUAUUUAGAACCAGCUACCCAUGGGUCCCCUCAAAGGCCAAAGCAGCCUAGGGAAUGCCUAAUAUCCAGAGGGUGGUAGGCUGUCUCUGCUUCUGUGAAACAGUUCAGUUCCUUCCUGUAAGUCAUCUGUUGUGAAGUUAAAUGCAAACAUUUGGAACUGGCUGAUGGGUCAAUUCAUUUUCCUCUCAAAGGUCUGGCGGUUUUUUUUUUCUUCUUCCUGUUCCCUGGAGUGUAGUAUACAUGUGCUAACUUUGGUAUGUCCUCAGCGUGACCUCCUGGUCGUUAUGUAAAAUACCCAUUGGUUCUGUAAACGGAAAAUAUGACUCAACCCACACUGGCGGCCCUUGAUUGGCUGCUGGAGUACUAAAACCCUGCACCUGUGCUGGUUACCGAAUAGCGUCAGCCUGCCAUUGCUUAACCCCCGGGUUGCCAAAUCUGUGCCCAUGACAUUGGCCUGUGCAAUGCGGAUUUCAAAAGCUGGUCAGAUACAAAGUCAUGCUUGAUGGCAAUUCAACUCUGCACUUUUCAGUGUGUUCUGGAGUUAAGGGGGGGAGGGGGAGUGGAGUUAGCCUUAGGUACGUCCUCUGGCCUCCACAGUUCUACAGGGCCAACACUGUGCCUCAUAUCUUUCCACAAGAGCUGUAGAUCCACCUCUCCUAAUUGGUCUCUCGUAUUCAGCUUCAAUCGCCUUGCCUGAAACCUCCACUACAAUCUCCUAUCUCAUUAUUCUCUUAUCAAGCUCAUCUUGCCCUUUAUGAAACCCAAAGGGCUCAGCCCAGAAAGGGCGAAGAAUGUGGUGACUCUACGGCCCACAAGGGGAAGCAGGGCCACAAACAUGCCGAGCUGUCAUUAGUCAGAAGGAAAGGAAGAGAUGACUUGGAAGGAGAGGAGACUGUGUGACAACACAGCCUUAAGCAACCAGCCUUACAGUUUUGUGACUCAGGUAGAAGCAGCCUGGGCCCAGGUUCCAUUCUCACACCAGGGGAUGGGCCCCUGGUCAAUGGUCUUUUCUUUUUCCCAUUUGUUUGCUUAUUCCCCCUCCUCAGCCCGGCCCAGCCGCCCCACCGCGGGUCCUCUAAAAAGCUGGCUGGCCUCUUUUAAGGGCCUUUUGUUCGGUCUGAUUACUCAUAUCCUAGGCUCAACUGGAAAUGGUGACACACGGGCUGUCACCAUCUGGAUUCAGCUAUUAUCUGCUCGGAGGAACUGGAAGGGGUUGCACAAUGGCCAGACCCACCCCACCUCUGAGGUGGUUGCUCAGGCAUCAACCGGAAAAAAGUCCCCUCCAGUUCUCUUCCACCAUCGACCCCCCUACCCCCUCCCACGAUAAAAGCGUCUCUCCACAUUGUUUUCACUUGUGGUAAAAGUAAGUAAUAAAUACAUAAGUCCACCGCCCCCCCUUUCAAACUGGUCUUGAUCCCACAUUUGAAAUUUCGUUCAAGUGGACAGUAGGUGGCAGCAACAAGCUGGGGGGUGGGGGGGUCAGGUGAGUUGCAGGAAACCCAGGAGCAACUUAAAACUGGAGCGGGGUGAAAAAAGGCUCAGACCGUGGGGUUCCAGUGCGCCCUUGAGCCGACGGGGGGCGAGCGGCCGGCGUCCCCGCGUGCGGCGUGUGUCUCCCCCCCCGCCCCCCGCCCCCCCAGUUUCUGGUCCUUCCUCCUCCCGGGUGGGAGCCCUUAUGGGUAGGUACGGUCCAUGAAAAUCGCCGGCUGGAAAAAUAAAGUGAAUGGAAAGCGUGCGCUCCGAGCUCGGGGGAGCUUUCCAACACUUCUGCCCCGGCCCGAAGU
Molecule: long non-coding RNA, 2021 nt
Organism: Perognathus longimembris pacificus (Pacific pocket mouse)
Lineage: Eukaryota; Metazoa; Chordata; Mammalia; Rodentia; Heteromyidae
Exons: 3
Source: RefSeq, a predicted model, not a curated record